GGGGCAGCACGAUGUAGCAAUACGUUGGUGGCGACCGGCGCACGGGUGAGUAACGCGUAUGUAACCUACCCUGUACAGGGAGAUAGCCCGGAGAAAUUCGGAUUAAUAUCCCAUAAUAAUAUUAUGAGGCAUCUUGUGAUAUUUAAAGUUACGACGGUACAGGAUGGGCAUGCGUAACAUUAGCUAGUUGGUAGGGUAACGGCCUACCAAGGCGACGAUGUUUAGGGGUCCUGAGAGGGUGAUCCCCCACACUGGUACUGAGACACGGACCAGACUCCUACGGGAGGCAGCAGUGAGGAAUAUUGGUCAAUGGGCGCAAGCCUGAACCAGCCAUCCCGCGUGAAGGAAGACUGCCCUAUGGGUUGUAAACUUCUUUUCCGGAGGAAUAAAAUACCGAACGAGUUCGGGACUGAAGGUACUCCGGGAAUAAGCAUCGGCUAACUCCGUGCCAGCAGCCGCGGUAAUACGGAGGAUGCGAGCGUUAUCCGGAUUUAUUGGGUUUAAAGGGUGCGUAGGCGGAUUAAUAAGUCAGUGGUGAAAACCUUCAGCUUAACUGGAGACUUGCCAUUGAUACUGUUAGUCUUGAGUACGGUCA
This 595-nucleotide ribosomal RNA is filed under the name uncultured bacterium. RNAcentral's name for it is "bacterial SSU rRNA". It matches the Rfam family "Bacterial small subunit ribosomal RNA", at positions 66 to 654 of the family's 1533-position model. The record is from RNAcentral.